RNAcentral lists this ribosomal RNA (881 nucleotides) under Streptomyces aureus. Its description in RNAcentral is "bacterial SSU rRNA". It matches the Rfam family "Bacterial small subunit ribosomal RNA", at positions 215 to 1115 of the family's 1533-position model. Lineage: Bacteria; Bacillati; Actinomycetota; Actinomycetes; Kitasatosporales; Streptomycetaceae. The record is from RNAcentral.
ACUCCGGCGGCAGAUGACCCGCGCUAUCAGUUGUUGGUGAGGAGAAGCUCACCAAGGGGACGACGGGUAGCCGGCCUGAGAGGGCGCCGCCACACUGGGAUGAGACACGGCCCAGAUCUACGGGGCAGCAGUGGGGAAUAUUGCACAAUGGGCGAAAGCCUGAUGCAGCGACGCCGCGUGAGGGAUGACGGCCUUCGGGUUGUAAACCUCUUUCAGCAGGGAAGAAGCGAAAGUGACGGUACCUGCAGAAGAAGCGCCGGCUAACUACGUGCCAGCAGCCGCGGUAAUACGUAGGGCGCAAGCGUUGUCCGGAAUUAUUGGGCGUAAAGAGCUCGUAGGCGGCUUGUCACGUCGGUUGUGAAAGCCCGGGGCUUAACCCCGGGUCUGCAGUCGAUACGGGCAGGCUAGAGUGUGGUAGGGGAGAUCGGAAUUCCUGGUGUAGCGGUGAAAUGCGCAGAUAUCAGGAGGAACACCGGUGGCGAAGGCGGAUCUCUGGGCCAUUACUGACGCUGAGGAGCGAAAGCGUGGGGAGCGAACAGGAUUAGAUACCCUGGUAGUCCACGCCGUAAACGGUGGGAACUAGGUGUUGGCGACAUUCCACGUCGUCGGUGCCGCAGCUAACGCAUUAAGUUCCCCGCCUGGGGGAGUACGGCCGCAAGGCUAAAACUCAAAGGAAUUGACGGGGGCCCGCACAAGCAGCGGAGCAUGUGGCUUAAUUCGACGCAACGCGAAGAACCUUACCAAGGCUUGACAUAUACCGGAAAGCAUCAGAGAUGGUGCCCCCCUUGUGGUCGGUAUACAGGGUGGUGCAUGGCUGUCGUCAGCUCGUGUCGUGAGAAGUUGGGGUUAAUCCCGCAACGAGCGCAACCCUUGUUCUGUGU